Gallus gallus (chicken) is the source of this 1216-nucleotide long non-coding RNA. The record is from Ensembl. Lineage: Eukaryota; Metazoa; Chordata; Aves; Galliformes; Phasianidae.
CUUAGCUGUUUCGAGAUCUUUUCUCAACAGGGAGAAUAUUUCUUACCUUCAAGGGGAUCUAUUAUUUUGCAGAGAUUUGGAAAUUACUGUACUGUCACUCUCCUUGGGUCUGUGGGAAAAGGUCAUCUGCCUGAAAAUAGAUGAAAAUUGAGAGGAUGGAGGCAGAGAGACACAGAGAUGGAGAGAGAUGGAAGGAAAGAGUGCUGCUGCUAUCGGAGCCUUCUCUGCAUUUCCCCUUCUUCGAGAGAUUAUCCUUGCAGAGCCCUGCAGGAUCCUGGGGACUAGGGACAGGAAGGGACUCUGAAACUCUGCCUGAAAUAGAAAACAGCACAAGAGGCUGCUAUUCCACAAAGUCCCAGGAAGAGUGGGAAAAAGAGAGGAAAAAAAACAUUAAUGUAGGAAGUAAAUCUGCUCAGCGUUUUAUCCCAACAUCCUGUCCUCCUGCUGCUUUUUAUAUGACCUUUUGCACUGCACAGAAUUCAUUACUAUUGUAAAAAACACGGUUUUGUUUCUUAGAAAAUUUCAAGAAAUGUGUGAUCUGUUUUAAAGUAGACAGGAUUCACAAGUGGCAAAAAUAUGUGUUCUUCCAAAUCCUUUUCCUUCAUUAUCAGCUCCAGAAGUUUGCUAAUUAGACCCACUAAACAAAAACACCUCAGCAAUAACACAGUGCAGAAGGAACGGAGAAAACUUCAUAAUUGCAAUUUUAUUUAUUAUUUCACUGCAGGACAGCACAGGAACCUUAACCAGGUCAAGACUUCAUUGUGUCAGGUGCUGUACACACAAAAAAAUAGCAGUUCCUGCUCCAGGAAACGUGAAAUUUUUGCAUGUAUUUAUAGCCAAGCUUGUGGCCCCAUGGUAACUCAUUUAGUGAUUACCUCCACAAAUGCUAGUGAAGGCACCCAGAAACAUAUUUUGCAGGGUACAAACAUCUGUGGUUUCCCUGAGGCUGAAGCCCAGUGUACUUUCCCUGCCACAGAAGGGUAAUAGGGCCUUAGAGUAAAUGGAGUGGAAUAAGGACCAAAACACUUUGUGUUCUUUAAAUGAAAGGCACUUUAUACACACACGUAUGUUUACUGAAAGGCCUUUCAAAGAGGCAUAAUUAUGCAGGCAUCUCUGUGUAAUUCGCCUGGGUCAAUGCUAAUGUUGGAAAGUACUUAUUCUGUGGGUCAGACGAAUUACUGCAGUGCUCAGCCCCUGGCCUAUGUGUAUGUAAUAA